This is a long non-coding RNA of Rosa rugosa (rugosa rose), 2110 nucleotides long. RefSeq lists it as uncharacterized. The record is from RefSeq and is a predicted model, not a curated record. The transcript has 12 exons. Lineage: Eukaryota; Viridiplantae; Streptophyta; Magnoliopsida; Rosales; Rosaceae.
UAAUUGACUCAAAUUUUUAGCCAAAUUCUAAUUUCCCUCUAUCCUAGAAACUGACGCCAAAUUCUAAUUUAACUCUCUAGAGUCCAGAUCAACUCUCCAUUCUUCUCUUCUUCUGUGUUUUUUUUUUUUUUUGCUUCUCAGUCUCCACCAAAAAUAGAGAAAAAAAAAACCCAAACCCUCACCCCUGGCUUCGAUUAACCAUGCAAAAGCCAAGCCGGUGUCUUUUCCAGAUUUGAAUAUAUGCAAGUCGACUAUAAGAACUGUUUACGGCUUCAAUCUCUUCUCUUCGGAACCGAACUCGCCGCCGAGAGAAAUGACUUCUCCUCCGCUCAGAUCUGCAGUCUUCGUCCCACAGUCCCACUCGAUCUCAGCUCGACCAUGCUUUCGUCAGCCUCAUUCUCUGCAAAGCCGUCUCCAAGCUCGGUGAGGCUCGUUGUCCGCGCAUUUCUGAUUCUGAUUGAGUUGGGAUUGAGAUUCUGCUUCGUACAUUUAAGCUGUCUCACAGAGAGUGCUACUUUUUGCUGCUCGAUCUUAAGUGCAAUCUGCAAGAAGGGAUGGAGGGAAAUCCUUCUGCUAAAACCAUGAAGAAUGUUUCAAGAGGCAUGGCUGUUCUUACAGUUUUGUUUACCAUGGGCUUUCCAAAGAGUGGAGCAUGAGUUCCAAGGUUCAAUUCCCAAGAGCUGCGUGCAUUGUCAAUUUAUGUUCUCAAAGCAUCUUGCACUGCCCGUUGAAUUCAACGAAUUGGCUAUGUGGCUGUUCAUAUCUAGAUAAGUAUAUGAAAUGUUUCAGUUGUUAUAAAUAUUGUUCGGUUAAUCUCUGUUGGAAGUUAUGCUAAUCAAAUGUGUUGAAUGCCAAAAUAUUCCCCAAGGCAGUUUCAUCUUUCAAUCGCAUGGCGGUUAGUUCCACAAGGAGGGCGAUCACCUCGUGAAAAUUUUCCCUGAAAAUAUGCAGGACAUUCCACAGGAUGAGAACUCCAAAGAUCAGUUUCUAAUUCAAUCCAAGUCAGGGGUACCCAGGUUUUAUGGAAUAAUGUGCAGAAAUUGAAAUCUGAGCCCGUGUACAAGAAUUCUGUGAGUUAACAUCCUACCUUAGUGGCCAUUAAUGUCUUUUCCCAUAAAUCUGACUGAUUAAUUUCGUGACCGAAAGCGAUAGUCACAUAAUGGUCUGAUACAACUCUUGAAUUCUGUUGCAUGCAUUUUUAAAGGCUUGUGGUAGUGGUCGGAGUUUAUCAGUUUGGAACCUUCCUGCUUCUGAAUGCAUUUAAAGGACUUCAACUCGUGCAUAUGUACAGGAUGUAGUAUUUGAUGAAAAUCAAAUAUUAGUAGUUGGAGCAGAGCCUCUACUUAGCCGUUUUGAGAUAAAUGAGGCGAUUCUUUCACAAAUGCAAUGUGCUCCUCCCCAGUCAGCCUUUUCUGUCUCAUUACAUACAUCUGGGGUUACAACAAUAGGAGGUUAUGGAGGAGUUGUGGAUGUUAUUUCCCAGUUCGGAAGCCAUUUGUGCACGGUUGGCUGAAAUGUGUUUAGAUAGAGCUCACUCUUGUCUUCAGAUAUGGUGUGCUCGAAACCUGAAAGCAGCGGAGGUGUUCUUCUCUAUGGACCCUCGGGAAUAGAAAAGACAUUGCUAGCCAGAGCAAUUGCAAGCAACAUAGAUGCUAACUUUCUAAAGUUAUGGCACUUGAUAUGCGGUCCAGAAGAGCAAAGAGAUUAUUAGAAGAGCAUGAUGGUGAGAAUUGUAAAGGUGAAGAAGAAGUGCAAGCAAUGGACAAUUGUCACAGACUUUGUCCGCUGAUAGCUGAAACUGGAAAUAUUGGUUUUGCUAUGCAAGCAAUGCAUCAGAGUAAAUCAAUGAAAUCAAGAAAUGAUGAACCACUUAUGGGAAAUUUUGUAUCAAACUGCUCAAGGCUUUGAACUGAGAUGGUGGAAAUGAAAGGCAAUGUGCAGUCAUUGGGAGAUCAAGCUUGGAACACCCAGCAAGUUGUAUUAUUAUUUAUCAUUAUGUAAACCUUAUGAAAUUAGAAAGCUUGUUAAGCUAAUGAAAUGGAUUAAUGCUUUAUGAAAUUGCCUUUGUUGAAUCUAUUGGAAUUUAUUAUGAAAGUUGCUUUUAGUAAAA